GUAGCUCAGUUAGGUAGAGCAGCUGGCUGAACCCCAGACGGUCGCCGGUUCGAAUCCGGCCAACUCCA
Molecule: transfer RNA, 68 nt
Filed under: Verrucomicrobiia bacterium
Lineage: Bacteria; Pseudomonadati; Verrucomicrobiota; Verrucomicrobiia
Description: tRNA-Phe
Rfam family: tRNA
About the family: Transfer RNA (tRNA) molecules are approximately 80 nucleotides in length. Their secondary structure includes four short double-helical elements and three loops (D, anti-codon, and T loops). Further hydrogen bonds mediate the characteristic L-shaped molecular structure. tRNAs have two regions of fundamental functional importance: the anti-codon, which is responsible for specific mRNA codon recognition, and the 3' end, to which the tRNAs corresponding amino acid is attached (by aminoacyl-tRNA synthetases). tRNAs cope with the degeneracy of the genetic code in two manners: having more than one tRNA (with a specific anti-codon) for a particular amino acid; and 'wobble' base-pairing, i.e. permitting non-standard base-pairing at the 3rd anti-codon position.
Source: RNAcentral